UGCGUAGGUGGUUGGGUAAGUCUGAUGUGAAAUCUCCGAGCUCAACUCGGAAAUGGCAUUGGAAACUACCUGGCUUGAGGGUUGGAGGGGGGACUGGAAUUCUCGGUGUAGCAGUGAAAUGCGUAGAUAUCGAGAGGAACACCAGUGGCGAAGGCGAGUCCCUGGACAACUCCUGACACUGAGGCACGAAAGCUGGGAGCAAACA
This 205-nucleotide ribosomal RNA is filed under the name uncultured bacterium. RNAcentral describes it as "partial 16S ribosomal RNA". It matches the Rfam family "Bacterial small subunit ribosomal RNA", at positions 568 to 774 of the family's 1533-position model. The record is from RNAcentral.